CCUACGGGAGGCAGCAGUAGGGAAUCUUCCACAAUGGGCGAAAGCCUGAUGGAGCAACGCCGCGUGGGUGAAGAAGGUCUUCGGAUCGUAAAACCCUGUUGUUAGAGAAGAACGUGCGUGAGAGUAACUGUUCACGUUUCGACGGUAUCUAACCAGAAAGCCACGGCUAACUACGUGCCAGCAGCCGCGGUCAUACGUAGGUGGCAAGCGUUAUCCGGAUUUAUUGGGCGUAAAGGGAACGCAGGCGGUCUUGUAAGUCUGAUGUGAAAUCCUUCGGCUUAACCGGAGUAGUGCAUUGGAAACUGGGAGACUUGAGUGCAGAAGAGGAGAGUGGAACUCCAUGUGUAGCGGUGAAAUGCGUAGAUAUAUGGAAGAACACCAGUGGCGAAAGCGGCUCUCUGGUCUGUAACUGACGCUGAGGUUCGAAAGCGUGGGUAGCAAACAGGAUUAGAUACCCCAGUAGUC
RNAcentral lists this ribosomal RNA (465 nucleotides) under uncultured bacterium. RNAcentral's name for it is "partial 16S ribosomal RNA". It matches the Rfam family "Bacterial small subunit ribosomal RNA", at positions 338 to 795 of the family's 1533-position model. The record is from RNAcentral.